Unclassified non-coding RNA from Chlorocebus sabaeus (green monkey), 102 nucleotides. It matches the Rfam family "Y RNA". From Rfam's summary of the family: Y RNAs are components of the Ro ribonucleoprotein particle (Ro RNP), in association with Ro60 and La proteins. The Y RNAs and Ro60 and La proteins are well conserved, but the function of the Ro RNP is not known. In humans the RNA component can be one of four small RNAs -- hY1, hY3, hY4 and hY5. The record is from Ensembl. NCBI's taxonomy places the organism in Eukaryota, Metazoa, Chordata, Mammalia, Primates, Cercopithecidae.
GGCUGGUCCCAGUGCAGUGGUGUUUAUAAUUUAUCAAUCAUAGCCAGUUACAGAUUUAUUUAUUCCUUCUCCACUCCCACUGCUUCACUUGACUACCGUUAC